This 254-nucleotide ribosomal RNA is filed under the name uncultured bacterium. Its description in RNAcentral is "partial 16S ribosomal RNA". It matches the Rfam family "Bacterial small subunit ribosomal RNA", at positions 524 to 776 of the family's 1533-position model. The record is from RNAcentral.
UACGUAGGGCGCAAGCGUUGUCCGGAAUUAUUGGGCGUAAAGAGCUCGUAGGCGGUUUGUCACGUCGGAUGUGAAAGCCCGGGGCUUAACCCCGGGUCUGCAUUCGAUACGGGCAGACUGGAGUGUGGUAGGGGAGAUCGGAAUUCCUGGUGUAGGCGGUGAAAUGCGCAGAUAUCAGGAGGAACACCGGUGGCGAAGGCGGAUCUCUGGGCCAUUACUGACGCUGAGGAGCGAAAGCGUGGGGAGCAAACAGG